UAAAAAGCUCGUAGUUGGAUUUCUAAGCCUGCCAGUUCCGUCUGACCUUUAAGAGUCAGCACGGUGCCUGGCGUGUCUUAUUAUGCGUUUAAUGGCGUUUGCUAUUCGUUUAGCGAGUGCCGUGAGAGCGCGUGUUUACUUUGAGAAAAUUAGAGUGUUCAAAACAGUCUUUCGAUUGUAUAUCAUAGCAUGGAAUAAUAACUGAUGACAACGGUCUCUGUUGUUGGCUUUCGGUGACUGAUGUAAUGAUUGAUAGAGUCAGUCGGAGGCAUUAGUAUUUUAUCGUUAGAGGUGAAAUUCACAGAUCGAUAAAAGACUAACAACUGCGAAAGCAUUUGUCUAGGAUGUGCUCUUUGAUCAAGAACGAAAGUUGGGGGAUCGAAGACGAUCAGAUACCGUCGUAGUCUCAACUAUAAACUAUACCAGCUAGGGAUUGGCGAAUGUUUGUUUGACUUCGUCAGAACCUUAUGAGAAAUCAAAGCAUUUGGGUUCCGGGGGGAGUAUGGUCGCAAGGCUGAAACUUAAAGGAAUUGACGGAAGGGCACCACAAGCCGUGGAUCCUGUGGCUUAAUUUGACUCAACACGGGAAAACUUACCAGGUCCGGACAUAGUUAGGAUUGACAGAUUGAGAGCUCUUUCUUGAUUCUAUGGGUGGUGGUGCAUGGCCGUUCUUAGUUGGUGGAGUGAUUUGUCUGGUUAAUUCCGUUAACGAACGAGACCGCCACCUGCUAAAUAGCUUACUGGACUUUUGUUCAUUUGGCUUCUUAGAGGGACUGUUCGGCGUCCAACCGAAAGGAAGUUGGCGGCAAUAACAGGUCUGUGAUGCCCUUAGAUGUUCUGGGCCGCGCACGGGCUACAAUGGCGGAUACAACAAGCCCUCACUAUCCCGGUUCGAAAGGAUCGGGGAAUCUUGAACAUCUCGCCAUGGUUGGGAUCGGACAUUGUAAUUAUUGUCCGUGAACGAGGAAUGCCUAGUAGAUACAGGUCAUUAGCCUGUGUCGACUACGUCCCUGCCCUUUGUACACACCGCCCGUCGCUCCUACCGAUUGGAUGAAUUGGUGAGUAAACAGGAUUCUUGGGCUAGCGGCUUCGGCCGCUGCUCGGGGAGNAAAGUAUGCUAACUCGCGC
Molecule: ribosomal RNA, 1128 nt
Filed under: Eucyrtidium acuminatum
Lineage: Eukaryota; Polycystinea; Nassellaria; Theoperidae
Description: SSU rRNA
Rfam family: Eukaryotic small subunit ribosomal RNA
Source: RNAcentral